RNAcentral lists this unclassified non-coding RNA (433 nucleotides) under Hevea brasiliensis (rubber tree). Lineage: Eukaryota; Viridiplantae; Streptophyta; Magnoliopsida; Malpighiales; Euphorbiaceae. The record is from RNAcentral.
AUCCUUUUUCUCUACCUCAGUGUCACCCUUUCCUAGAGUCGAUUAGCCGACCAUGGCCACCGCCUUUCCCUUAAGUCUCUGGCUUAUUGUUUCUGCUAAUCUUCUGCCUCUUUUGCUUAUUAUUGCUACUAUUCCAGCUGGAUCCUUUGCAAUACGACCUUAUCCAUCUCAAUCCGUCUUCACCCAACCCAGCGAUCUGACGAACAACCUCCACGGCAGCGUCGCCGAGGGAUUUGAACGGCGAUGGGGCAACAGAAGCGGCGUUGUUGCUGGCGGCGGCUUUGUUUCCGGCGAUGGCUCAUACCGAAGGAAUACUGAGCAAGGUAGAAGGUGGUUCAUGACCAUGAGAAGACUUUUGACCGGCCCAGGUCAUACUUCACCCCGUAAUGGCACACACGGGCGCUAGUGAAUAGCGAUGUUUCAUUUAAGGGCG